GAAAAGCCGUUGUUAUAAAAUUUAACUACAGGAAC
This 35-nucleotide transfer RNA is filed under the name Setophaga tigrina. RNAcentral describes it as "partial tRNA-Glu". Lineage: Eukaryota; Metazoa; Chordata; Aves; Passeriformes; Parulidae. The record is from RNAcentral.